This 497-nucleotide ribosomal RNA is filed under the name uncultured bacterium. RNAcentral's name for it is "partial 16S ribosomal RNA". It matches the Rfam family "Bacterial small subunit ribosomal RNA", at positions 28 to 507 of the family's 1533-position model. The record is from RNAcentral.
GAUGAACGCUGGCGGCGUGCCUAAUACAUGCAAGUCGAGCGAACGGACGAGAAGCUUACUUCUCUGAUGUUAGCGGCGGACGGGUGAGUAACACGUGGAUAACCUACCUAUAAGACUGGGAUAACUUCGGGAAACCGGAGCUAAUACCGGAUGAUAUUUUGAACCGCAUGGUUCAAAAGUGAAAGACGGUCUUGCUGUCACUUAUAGAUGGAUCCGCGCUGCAUUAGCUAGUUGGUAAGGUAACGGCUUACCAAGGCAACGAUGCAUAGCCGACCUGAGGGGGUGAUCGGCCACACUGGAACUGAGACACGGUCCAGACUCCUACGGGAGGCAGCAGUAGGGAAUCUUCCGCAAUGGGCGAAAGCCUGACGGAGCAACGCCGCGUGAGUGAUGAAGGUCUUCGGAUCGUAAAACUCUGUUAUUAGGGAAGAACAUAUGUGUAAGUAACUGUGCACAUCUUGACGGUACCUAAUCAGAAAGCCACGGCUAACUACGUG